Molecule: transfer RNA, 87 nt
Filed under: Treponema sp.
Lineage: Bacteria; Pseudomonadati; Spirochaetota; Spirochaetia; Treponematales; Treponemataceae
Description: tRNA-Ser
Rfam family: tRNA
About the family: Transfer RNA (tRNA) molecules are approximately 80 nucleotides in length. Their secondary structure includes four short double-helical elements and three loops (D, anti-codon, and T loops). Further hydrogen bonds mediate the characteristic L-shaped molecular structure. tRNAs have two regions of fundamental functional importance: the anti-codon, which is responsible for specific mRNA codon recognition, and the 3' end, to which the tRNAs corresponding amino acid is attached (by aminoacyl-tRNA synthetases). tRNAs cope with the degeneracy of the genetic code in two manners: having more than one tRNA (with a specific anti-codon) for a particular amino acid; and 'wobble' base-pairing, i.e. permitting non-standard base-pairing at the 3rd anti-codon position.
Source: RNAcentral
GGAGAGAUGACCGAGGGGUCGAAGGUGCACGAUUGGAAAUCGUGUGUGCCCGAGAGGGUACCGAGGGUUCAAAUCCCUCUCUCUCCG